RNAcentral lists this ribosomal RNA (120 nucleotides) under Peromyscus maniculatus bairdii (prairie deer mouse). Lineage: Eukaryota; Metazoa; Chordata; Mammalia; Rodentia; Cricetidae. The record is from RNAcentral.
GUCUAUGGCCAUCCCAACCCAAAUGCACCCGAUCACUACUGAUCUUGGAAUCUAAGUAUGACAAAGCCUGGUUAGUAUUUGGAAGAGAGUAGCAACUCAUGUGCUGAGGUGCUGCAGGCG